CAUCGAAAGAUGAUGUUUACCGACAUCCAAAAGAAUGACCGGACAUUUACCGAUGACUGGGUGAGAAAUUUAUUGGGGAGAUACAAAUAUUUGCAACUGGAAACCAGAUAGGACAUUUACAGAUGACUCUACUGGGGAUUUCUAGCUGGGAAUUAUCAGACUUUUACCGAUGACUGAGGAAAAGACUCGAUGUUUACCGACAUCGAAAGAUGAUGUU
RNAcentral lists this long non-coding RNA (217 nucleotides) under Lathyrus oleraceus (garden pea). RNAcentral's name for it is "Pisum sativum (pea) long non-coding RNA (PSAT_LNC041012)". Lineage: Eukaryota; Viridiplantae; Streptophyta; Magnoliopsida; Fabales; Fabaceae. The record is from RNAcentral.